Molecule: ribosomal RNA, 301 nt
Filed under: uncultured bacterium
Lineage: Bacteria
Description: partial 16S ribosomal RNA
Rfam family: Bacterial small subunit ribosomal RNA
Source: RNAcentral
CAGUAGCCGCGGUAAAACGAGGGGGGCAAGCGUUGUUCGGAAUUAUUGGGCGUAAAGGGUGCGUAGGCGGUUUGGCAAGUUUGGUGUGAAAUCUUCGGGCUCAACUCGAAGUCUGCAUCGAAAACUGCCGGGCUUGAGUAUGGGAGAGGUGAGUGGAAUUUCCGGUGUAGCGGUGAAAUGCGUAGAUAUCGGAAGGAACACCUGUGGCGAAAGCGGCUCACUGGACCAUAACUGACGCUGAUGCACGAAAGCUAGGGGAGCAAACAGGAUUAGAUACCCCAGUAGUCCCUGUCUCUUAUAU